This 497-nucleotide ribosomal RNA is filed under the name uncultured bacterium. RNAcentral describes it as "partial 16S ribosomal RNA". It matches the Rfam family "Bacterial small subunit ribosomal RNA", at positions 28 to 507 of the family's 1533-position model. The record is from RNAcentral.
GAUGAACGCUGGCGGCGUGGCUAAUACAUGCAAGUCGAGCGAACGGACGAGAAGCUUGCUUCUCUGAUGUUAGCGGCGGACGGGUGAGUAACACGUGGAUAACCUACCUAUAAGACUGGGAUAACUUCGGGAAACCGGAGCUAAUACCGGAUAAUAUUUUGAACCGCAUGGUUCAAAAGUGAAAGACGGUCUUGCUGUCACUUAUAGAUGGAUCCGCGCUGCAUUAGCUAGUUGGUAAGGUAACGGCUUACCAAGGCAACGAUGCAUAGCCGACCUGAGAGGGUGAUCGGCCACACUGGAACUGAGACACGGUCCAGACUCCUACGGGAGGCAGCAGUAGGGAAUCUUCCGCAAUGGGCGAAAGCCUGACGGAGCAACGCCGCGUGAGUGAUGAAGGUCUUCGGAUCGUAAAACUCUGUUAUUAGGGAAGAACAUAUGUGUAAGUAACUGUGCACAUCUUGACGGUACCUAAUCAGAAAGCCACGGCUAACUACGUG